GACAGAGGUGCCGAGCGUUAGGCGGAAUCACUGGGCUUAAAGCGUGUGUAGGCGGACUUCUAAGUACCUUGUGAAAUCCCACGGCUCAACCGUGGAACUGCUUGGUAUACUGGUCGUCUUGAGCCACCUAGGGGCAACCGGAACAAAUGGUGGAGCGGUGAAAUGCGUAGAUAUCAUUUGGAACGCCAAUGGUGAAAACAGCUCGCUGGGAAUGAUCUGACACUGAGACGCGAAAGCCAGGGGAGCGAACGGG
Molecule: ribosomal RNA, 253 nt
Filed under: uncultured bacterium
Lineage: Bacteria
Description: partial 16S ribosomal RNA
Rfam family: Bacterial small subunit ribosomal RNA
Source: RNAcentral